Molecule: long non-coding RNA, 267 nt
Filed under: Lathyrus oleraceus (garden pea)
Lineage: Eukaryota; Viridiplantae; Streptophyta; Magnoliopsida; Fabales; Fabaceae
Description: Pisum sativum (pea) long non-coding RNA (PSAT_LNC033438)
Source: RNAcentral
GACAUUCGACAUCAUUUCCUCUGUGAUAAUGUGAUUAAGGGUGAUGUUGAAGUGACAUUUAUGGAUACUCAUAACCAACUAGCGGAUAUUUUGACAAAACCUCUUGCAAAGGAACCACUCUUCAAGAUUCGAAGAGAACUACGCAUAUUGGAUGAUCAUGAUGUGUAAUUCUCAAUACAAAUACAUUUCCAUAAUCAUACUUCAAGGAAACCAACUCUCAUACAUCAAUUAAGGUACAUGGUAUCUUACAUAAUUUUUUUAGUUAAU